This 253-nucleotide ribosomal RNA is filed under the name uncultured bacterium. RNAcentral's name for it is "partial 16S ribosomal RNA". It matches the Rfam family "Bacterial small subunit ribosomal RNA", at positions 524 to 776 of the family's 1533-position model. The record is from RNAcentral.
UACGUAGGGUGCAAGCGUUAAUCGGAAUUACUGGGCGUAAAGCGUGCGCAGGCGGUUAUGUAAGACAGGUGUGAAAUCCCCGGGCUUAACCUGGGAAUGGCAUUCGGGACUGCAAGGCUGGAGUGCGGCAGAGGAGACUGGAAUUCCUGGUGUAGCAGUGAAAUGCGUAGAUAUCAGGAGGAACACCGAUGGCGAAGGCAGGUCUCUGGGCUGACACUGACGCUCAUGCACGAAAGCGUGGGGAGCAAACAGG